AAUCCUACGGGAGGCAGCAGUGGGGAAUAUUGCACAAUGGGGGGAACCCUGAUGCAGCAAUGCCGCGUGGGUGAAGAAGCACUCCGGUGCGUAAAGCCCUGUCAGCAGGGAAGAAAAUGACAGUACCUGGACAAGAAGCCCCGGCUAACUACGUGCCAGCAGCCGCGGUAAUACGUAGGGGGCAAGCGUUAUCCGGAUUUACUGGGUGUAAAGGGAGCGUAGACGGCAGAGCAAGUUUGAAGUGAAAGCCCGCGGCCCAACUGCGGGACUGCUUUGGAAACUGCCCGGCUAGAGUGCUGGAGAGG
Molecule: ribosomal RNA, 305 nt
Filed under: uncultured bacterium
Lineage: Bacteria
Description: bacterial SSU rRNA
Rfam family: Bacterial small subunit ribosomal RNA
Source: RNAcentral